CCGAGCAACGCCGGCGUGCAGGAAGAAGGUCUUCGGAUCGUAAACUGCUUUUCUCGGGGAAGAGAACGGACGGUUACCCGACGGAAGUAAGCCCCGGCUAAACUACCGUGC
Molecule: ribosomal RNA, 111 nt
Filed under: uncultured bacterium
Lineage: Bacteria
Description: partial 16S ribosomal RNA
Source: RNAcentral